RNAcentral lists this long non-coding RNA (8975 nucleotides) under Selaginella moellendorffii. RNAcentral's name for it is "long non-coding RNA (SMOE_LNC002389)". The record is from RNAcentral. Lineage: Eukaryota; Viridiplantae; Streptophyta; Lycopodiopsida; Selaginellales; Selaginellaceae.
UUACCCCCCACUUUGAAAAGCUCUAUCCUUAGAGCUGGCUGGUAACAUAGGAUCCCACUGAAACAGGUGCACCAGACGAUCAAACUCCUGUUGAGAAAGCCAGGUAUCUGCAUCCCCCCCAGUGUUCAUCCAGCGAACCAGAUAAUGCUUAAUCGUACGUCGACGCAGCUGACGAGUCUCCACAUCGAUCACCUUAUCUGGCACAACCAGAUGCUGGUCCCCCAACGAUCGGACUGGAACUUCCACUGUCGGCAUGGGAGUAGGACCAUAAUGCAACUUGAGCUCAGAAACGUGGAACACAUCAUGGAGCUUGCACCCUUGAGGAAGAGCCAGCCGAAAUGCCACCUCAUUAAUCCUUUCAAUCACCUGAAAAGGACCGAAGUAGCGUUGAGUCAGCUUGGAUCGAGAGCCCGCUCGACGGCCUAGAGUGUGACGAUGGGGGCGGAACUUGAUGUACACCAGGUCGCCAAUAGCGAAUGUUCGAAAACUCCGAUGCUUGUCAGCUUGAAGUUUCAUGGUUGCACGAGCUGCCUCCAACCUGCUAUGAACUUGUUGAUGCAACUCCCGAAUGGUCUCUAGAUGUCCAGAAACUGUCACCUCUGGGACCGGAAGAGCAGGAGCUGGCCAACUUAGGAUUCGACGCCCAUAGAGAAUCUCCAAAGGAGCAAACCCUGUAGCAGAAUGACAGGCCGAAUUAUAUGCGAAUUCAAGCCAGUGCAGCCAUGAUGUAGGACGAUCCAGUGUGUAACCCCUGAGAAAUACCUCCAUUGUCUAGUUGGUUCGUUCUGUCUGCCCAUCCGAUUGGGGAUGAUAUGCUGAACUGAAACUGAGCUUGGUCCCAAGAGCUGAAAAAAGGUGACGCCAGAAUGAGCUGAGGAACUUCGGAUCCCGGUCAGAAACAAUCUCCCGAGGCAGACCAUGGAGGCAAAUCACUUCUCGAGAAAACAACUCGGCUAUCCCUGCUGCAGACACUGAACUUGUCGUAGGCAGAAACCGAGCUGUCUUGCUGAAACGGUCAACCACCACCAUUAUCAUGUCUUUUCCUUGGCAACGAGGCAGACCCCCCACAAAGUCCAUGGAAAUGCUAGUAAAGGGACCAUUUGCAACUGGUAACGGCUGGAGAAGACCUGGAGAAGCCACUGUCUCUGUCUUUACCACUUGACAUACCGGACAUUCUUGAAUCCACGCCUUCACUUCUCGCUGCAUGCCUUUCCAAACAAAGCGAAGCUUGAUGGCCGCCAAUGUUGCUGCCACCCCGGGAUGUCCAGCAAGAAUUCCCUGAUGACACUCACGGAAAAUUUCUUGCCGCAGUGGAUGCUUGUUGUUGAGAAACACUCGUCCCUUUGACCAGAGAAUGCCAUCAAUGAGGACCAGCUUGGGAUGUUGCUCCCCAUUCUGAAGCCGCUCUAGAAUCUGUUGAAGGGCCACAUCUUGUGCGUACCCCUCCCGAAUCUGCUCUACGUACUCCGGCUGUGUCGCGCAUGUGACUUCGGGUAUCAAAAGUUACCUGUCGACUAGUCCUUACGGACACUCUUACCUUACUGCCACGAUGGCAGGAAGUCGGUAUUGCUGGACCCUUUAUUAGUCCCUCUUGUGCUAGUGGAGUUAACUGGGCAUUUCGAGUGUACUUAGACCAGACGAGCAUAAGGACGGAAUUCCUACGUGUUAUUAGCUAAGCAUACUUAGCCCGGUAAGGAGUUCCCGUCUCGUUAUGUCUUGCACUGGCUAGUGACAAGAACCCUCGCGUAUUGAGAUUGGUCCCUCAAUAUCGCUACAUGAUAGCUUACCGUGUCUGCCAAACACCCUCGCUAUCAUGCCCUUUGUGUUAGUCUCAUUUCGGUCCCAAAUGCUAAUUAUGGAAAGUGUCCAGAUUUGCUCAUUUGGCAUAUCUACGGAAUGUAGAGGUUGGCCUAAACACAAUGGUGUUCGUCCCGUGUCCAAAUUCACAAUCUAGGGACAUUCCAUAUUUAGUAAGUUUCGAGCUUGUCCCAGAGACUAACUCCUGAUACUAAGGGAGGCUUGGGGUGAAAGCCCAAAGCGUGUGUUCCUCAAGGGGGGGGGGGCUAUGGGGGGUUCCAAAUGUAUAGUAGGGAUAGUGGGUAGGUCGGGCAUGGCCGACCAACCUGAGGCAUAGUCUAGCUCCCGCUUGCGUGCCUGUCCUUGUUCUGCGUCCGGCUUGGGUCUAAGCCCAAGUUCCAUUCCAUGCUAGCUGGUGGAGUACCCAUAUCCUCACGUUAGGCCACCGGUAUGCCGAAAUAGUGCCAGACUCUGUUUGGCUCCGUUUUGUGUGCUGGUCCUGGCAUUGGGAUGCUGGUUACUCUAGGACUGUUCCAAGUUGCUCCGGGCUCCUGUCCCUUUGCUCCUUGGGUUGUAUGCUCGGGAGUUACUCUAUGGUCCGGUUCCAUCACUCCUUGGCUCCACGCUUGGGAGUUUGGCACCGUUCCUUCGUUCAGUGGCCCAAGGCCCUGAACCUCGGGUUCUUAUGGACACGUGGCAUGGACAUGUGGCAUGUGACACGUGGCAUCUGUCACAUGGCACAAAGAGGGUUUAGGUUCUGCUUCGUGGUGUUAUCCUAUAGUAAAUCACCAUAGGAUAAAGGGUCAAAACCACGUGCGCUACAUUUGGUAUAAGAGAAAGAGUCUCAGCGAGUACUAUUCAAUGAGAUGGGGCAACUAGUCUUGUUGCAUACGCAGAGAUGAAAAUGAUGAUCCGAGUGGGUACACGUUUGGGUGCAAAGGCUUUGCAAUUGGUUCCUUGGAUUUGGAUAUUGUUACCUUAUUGUACCUUAUGAUGUGAGCUUGCGCUUGGGCUUAUAGGAUGGAUUUGAGUUGUUCCGGUAGCACGAGUUUAAGCUUGAGCUCGUGAGUGAGGCACAUUAGCAACUCGAGGUUACACUUUGAGUUGGCAGGAUUAAUGUUAGCCUAUCGGUGGUUCCAUGAGUUGUUCCAUGUACCGUGGGUGAAAGCAAACCUCCCUGGGUUUGCUAUGAGUGGCAAAUAGGCUGGUCCGUAGCUGUUUAGCACGGCACUAGUGGAUCCUUCCUAGGCAUGAUUAUAGACUGAUUAUAGAUCAAUCAAGACUUUAAGGGAUUAGUCUAUUGGUUCAAAUAGUCAUGGCCGUGCUCUCUUAUAAACUUUUCUUCGAUUGAACUGAAGGCAGUGCGAAAGCAAGUUUGAGGUUUGGUCAAAGAUGAGACCGAAAAGAGAGUCAUCGGGGACGGAGGAUCAAAUACGUAAAUCAUUUUCUCUUCUUGGAGAGAUGAUUUGCAACGAGGUGUUAACUCAUUGCUUGUGUUCACAUUAUGCAAUCAAGAGUCCCUACCUUGAUGCAUAUUGGAGAUGAUGGUCUUACAAAUGGUGAGUUGUGGGAUGGAUAGCGGUGAAACGUUAUACCAUUUUGUCUAAGCUUGCUAUUGGAAGACUUGGGUUGCAAUGCUCAAUUCUUUUUCCGGAGAACCUUGCUAUUGCUCUUUGAGUAGCUUGGUGUUGGAUUAGUGUUGAGUUUGGUCGGAAAGAGAGUGGCAUGAGCUUGUCCGUGUUGUGAACAAAAGUUAGUGGUGUUGGUGUUGUAAAUCUCUAUCAAUGGGGUGUGGCAUUUAUGUUGCAUUUUGUCGAAUCGAGUUAGCACUUGAUAUUCACAUAAACCUUUGCAAUAGUGACAUGGGCAUUGUUCAUAGUGUUGCUUGAUUGAUGAUCAAGUCAUUGUGAUUUAUAUCAUAUCCAUGUGAUAAUGAGCAAUAUGUUUACGAAGUUGCUUGGUUAAAUGAUGAUCAACCCCAAAGUGGUUGAUGGAGAAGCUAGUCUACUUGCAUGAAGUAGCAUUGUAGUAGCUUUAACUAGAUUCUCGAAGAUGGUCCAUUAUGCUAAGCUUAAGUUGGUACCAAGUUUGCCCACUAAAGUGUUGGACAAGGGUUAUAACAUUCAUUUAUUAUAGCUCGUCGGUUGAUCCAUUAGCACUUGGAGUAGAUUAUUGGAUGGAGAAGGUGUGUAGUUGGGGCAUUGACAUCACUAGCACUUGUGUUAGUGGAAGUGGCAUUGUUGAUUCGAGUGAUGAGGGAUUUUCCUUAGAGCUUGAUUUUCCAUGUCAUUUUUCUGGUUAGUGUUUUAGCUUCACAUUGGAUCUUGAAGGUGAUUGAAGAAAAGUGUUAGUGCAAUGUGGAUAUCCGAAGAUGUGGUCUUCGUGAUCAAGCCUUGGAUGUUCAUUUUGCACUUUGCGGAUGUCGAAUGUCAAAAUGGGCAAAGAUGUUCGAGGCUUAAGCAUAUUGUUGGACAUGAGAAUUUGUGUUGAGGUGAACCUAUGUGAAGUUGUUUGUAGGAGGAAGUUGGUUGAGUCUUGAAAGUUUGCAAUCCUGGACUAAGAGUCAUUCUUUCUCUAGGAUGGAAAAUUUUCCACAAAUUUUCUUAGACUUUUCCAAUGGCUGAUCUGUUGGUCACUUUGCUCGAAAACCAUUCCAUUUUCGAAAACCAGUACAAACUAGUGAAGGGGUUGGAGUUGACUUCGGUUGGCUUAGAUCUUAGUAGGUAGUUUGUAUGAUGCGACCCGAAAGGGAUGCUAACUUUUGGGGCUAAAGCAAUUGAGUUGGAUAGAGUCUGGAGUUGGUGUAGAAAAGUGGCCGUAGCACUUUUCUAGAAAGGUGACCCUUGUGCCUUUUUUUUUCUAGCGUUGUGCUUGGUGGCAGUUUGCACCUUGGAUUAUGUUAGACUCUAUGAGAGUAGUGAGCUCUCACUGAUCUUGUCUUGGUCUUGGUGGCUCUCCACCUUGGCUGAGGAUGGUGAUGUCCAACUUAGUUGUUUGAGGUUGAGAUGUUGGUACCCGUACUAUAGCUUUGUCUAUAAGGAGGUUGUGUACCGAUAUGAGUUCAUCUCAUGGUCUUCACUUUCGUUUCGGCUGAGUGUUGAUCAUGCAUAGUUAGCCUCUUCAAAGCAUGCUCAGAGCUAGUGGCUAAAUGUUUUAGUAAGCUUAUUGCGGUUAAGUUGGAUUUGAGUGGUCAUUUAGUUUGUGCUUGUCUAUGAACUUUUAUCUCGUACCUGGGGUAUCACGUUCAUAUUGGGCAAGUAUAUAACUUGAUGACAAGAGUUGGUGUUUGGGUCUUGUGAAGGCAAGUUGAGGAGUGAUUGUUAGUUGCUUUGUGACUAGUGAUUACUUGUAGACUUCGUCAAGGACCGUUGACACUUGCUUUGCUCGAUGAUGAUUUAGCAGUGAUGGGCUUGCUUUACCGGAUGGUGUUGCGGAGGAUCGUGUCGUUAGACUUACAUGAGUUUUUCAUGUUGGCAUGUUGACUCUACCUCUGUUGAUAUCAUUUGGUUACAUUUAGUCCAUAGUGUUGGAUUUCAUUGAGUCUUGGACGUGGUGAAUCACUCUUUGAUGAUGUGUUAUCUAUAACUGAGUAUUGUUGGAGGAUUGGUCUUGGAUACUGAUUAAGGUAUCUUCGACCUUGGUUAGCUUGGUUGCUAGAGAGCUUUGGGUGGUGAUUCACUUGUGCUUUCUUCUAGCUUUGUUCUAGUGUUGAUAGCAUUGAAGUGAUACCUUGUCGUUGACCUUGUUGAUAUUGAGAUCUGAGUGAAUGAGAUAUCCUUCCAGGAUUGAUAUUGAGUUUCAUUAGUCUUGAUGAAUAUAGUGUUGAUGAUUUGGCUAUAGCUUUGUGUUGUUGGCCUUCAUGCAUUUGCUAAUUAGCAACUGUGUUGACGUUCAAACAAACUGCGUGGCAAGUUGAGUUAGUUGUGUUCUAGACGAGAUUAUUUAGUAGAGGGUUGAGCUUUAGCUUUUCCUUGAAAAGUGAUUUAGUCGUGGACUAUGCUAACUUUACGAGAUGAUGUGUUAGUGAUUGAUAUUGACGUGAUUGAAUCCUUGUUGGGUUUGAAUUGAGAUAUAUCAAUCAUUGAUGAUUCGUCUUGCACUUGUUACGAAGUGAGUUACGUCUUUUUCUAGAUGGAUUCAUGGAGGAUCGUUUGAUGAUCAUUUGUUAAGCAUAGCUUCAUUGUGCUUAGCUUUUGGAUUGAUGCAGAAAUGCUCUUCAUUAGCUUUGGCAUUAUGAAGUUUGGCUUAUGGAUGUGUUGAAGAAGACAUUGUGGGUUGCACCAUGAUUUCUUCUUUAGCAUUGAAGUUAGCUUCUAUGAGACUCGUGAUCAUUAUUAAGCAAGACUUGGCUAUAGGCUUCUUCGAGCUUUGGUUCUUUGAGUUUUAUGCUCAUUAUUCCAUUUGUUAGAAGUUGUUGGGGAAGGCAUUUUUGGCUCAUUAGCUUCGAUGUUGAAGUUAGUAUUUGCAUCUAACAAUCAUUGGUGAUGAUUGACUAUCAUCUAGGAUAAUUGAUUAUCCAUGUCAAAAAGAUUUUGCUUGAUUAUUGUUGAUAUAGAAUGAUUUGCCAUUCUUCGAGGUGGUGGAUUCCUUCUUCGACAAUGAUUAUGCAUCUCUUCAUUGAUGGGAUAAUUGAUGAUAUUUCAUGAUAAUUAAUUGUUCUCUUUGAUAGCUUGUGGCUUUUCGCAAUACCACAUGUUCUUUGUGGUUUGCUCUGGUUUGGUCUCUUGGGUUUGAGACAUCAGUAGGAUGUUGCUAACACUUGCUUAGGCAACUUGAGUUCCUUGGUGUUAUUGGCUGGGAUCUAUUCGGAUUGGCUAGUGCAAUGGUUAAUAUGAACAAGCAAUUGUUUGCUUUGCAACAUUCAUUUUGUUCUGUUGAUUAUUGCUCGAGUUAGUUCUCAUAGAUUAGGAUGUUAUUUCCUUCGGGUGAUACAUUCGCGAGCAUUGUGCUUGUUAGUCAAUGAUACUUUGUGUUCUUUAAGUUGUGUUUUGUGAGUUGUUUGGCAUGCUAUCUGCCAUUUUUGGUAGUUAAGUUUCCUCAUUGAGUUUUCUUGAUGAUCUACUUGCUAUUGAAUUUUGUUGGAUGGUUAAUCCUAUGUUUCCCGAACUGAUGAUCUUGGUGGUUCCUACACUAUAAAUACUAGUUUAUCGGAUGAUAACUUAUGUGGAAUACUUUUGUGUUCUACUCUCAGAUAUAAUCACUAGUAAUUAAGCUUCUCAGAUAUCAUUGUCUCUGACUUUGAUAUUGUCCAUCCAUUGAUCUUUGAGUUUGGGCCAGUAUAGGCAGACUGGCUUCGGCACUUCGUGUGCAUGGUGAAAUCUCUAGUCAUGGGGUAGCUACUGUCAACUGGUCACAUAACCCGCCUCUCUGUCGAUGUUCCUUAUUCUGUGAAAGGGCGUGACCGUGUAAACAACUCUACACUGCCUGUUUACAGUAGUCUAUCUAAACCUUACCGACGGGUUUGGUUUCUUUGCUCAGGAGGGUUGGGGCCUCUGGCUUCUCUGUCUAUGUUCCUACGGGCAGGGCAUAUCACACUUUUGUAGCUGGGUGACACCUAGAGCAGCAAGGGUGGCUGACUCCGUUGGUCAUUUCCUUGUCGGUGACGGCCGAAAGGUGUCUGAGCUGGUAGCGCAUCUGCGUUAGACAAAGAGGUUCCCCCUAACUCAUUUAAGUUGGUGCAUUUCUCACAUAGUGUGAGUACCGUGAACUUUUUCUGGAGUUGUUUCCUUGGUGGUAUUCUAGACUCGAGUAUGCAUCGACGAGGACGUCGAUCUUCCCAAGGGGGGGAGAGUGUCGCGCAUGUGACUUCGGGUAUCGAAAGUUACCUGUCGACUAAUCCUUAUGGACACUCUUACCUUACUGCCACGAUGGCAGGAGGUCGGUAUUGCUGGACCCUUUAUUAGUCCCUCUUGUGCUAGUGGAGUUAACUGGGCAUUUCGAGUGUACUUAGACCGGAUGAGCAUAAGGACGGAAUUCCUACGUGUUAUUAGCUAAGCAUACUUAGCCCGGUAAGGAGUUCCCGUCUCGUUAUGUCUUGCACUGGCUAGUGACAAGAACCCUCGCGUAUUGAGAUUGGUCCCUCAAUAUCGCUACAUGAUAGCUUACCGUGUCUGCCAAACACCCUCGCUAUCAUGCCCUUUGUGUUAGUCUCAUUUCGGUCCCAAAUGCUAAUUAUGGAAAGUGUCCAGAUUUGCUCAUUUGGCAUAUCUAUGGAAUGUAGAGGUUGGCCUAAACACAAUGGUGUUCGUCCCGUGUCCAAAUUCACAAUCUAGGGACAUUCCAUAUUUAGUAAGUUUCGAGCUUGUCCCAGAGACUAACUCCUGAUACUAAGGGAGGCUUGGGGUGAAAGCCCAAAGCGUGUGUUCCUCAAGGGGGGGGGGCUAUGGGGGGUUCCAAAUGUAUAGUAGGGAUAGUGGGUAGGUCGGGCAUGGCCGACCAACCUGAGGCAUAGUCUAGCUCCCACUUGCGUGCCUAUCCUUGUUCUGCGUCCGGCUUGGGUCUAAGCCCAAGUUCCAUUCCAUGCUAGCUGGUGGAGUACCCAUAUCCUCACGUUAGGCCACCGGUAUGCCGAAAUAGCGCCAGACUCCGUUUGGCUCCGUUUUGUGUGCUGGUCCUGGCAUUGGGAUGCUGGUUACUCUAGGACUGUUCCAAGUUGCUCCAGGCUCCUGUCCCUUCGCUCCUUGGGUUGUAUGCUCGGGAGUUACUCUAUGGUCCGGUUCCAUCACUCCUUGGCUCCACGCUUGGGAGUUUGGCACCGUUCCUUCGUUCAGUGGCCCAAGGCCCUGAACCUCGGGUUCUUAUGGACACGUGGCAUGGACACGUGGCAUGUGACACGUGGCAUCUGUCACGUGGCACAAAGAGGGUUUAGGUUCUGCUUCGUGGUGUUAUCCUAUAGUAAAUCACCAUAGGAUAAAGGGUCAAAACCACGUGCGCUACAGGCUGCAGGCGAGAAAUCCCAUAGAGAGCUAAGUCCUCGGUGCGUGCAAACUUCCGUGAAAGAGCAUCUGGAAGUACAUUGGAAGCACCUGGUCGAUACUCGAUAGUGAAGUCAAAGGCUUGAAGUUCUUCCACCCAACGCAUCUGCUUCUUGUUGAGGUGGGGUUGAGUGAGCAAAAACCGAAUGCUCACAUGAUCAGUGCGAAGCCGAAAAUGACGGAAAGCCAAAUAAUGCUUCCAUC